This 59-nucleotide non-coding RNA is filed under the name Trichobilharzia regenti. The record is from RNAcentral. Lineage: Eukaryota; Metazoa; Platyhelminthes; Trematoda; Strigeidida; Schistosomatidae.
AGUUAGCUGACGAGUCCCAAAUAGGACGAAAUGCGCUAGUCACCAUCCACCAAUUAAAU